RNAcentral lists this long non-coding RNA (1729 nucleotides) under Cricetulus griseus (Chinese hamster). RNAcentral's name for it is "lncRNA (ENSCGRG00015029388.1)". Lineage: Eukaryota; Metazoa; Chordata; Mammalia; Rodentia; Cricetidae. The record is from RNAcentral.
UUUUAAUAGGGCCAUCUUUUUGUCCUUUUUCAUUUGGGGGCAGAUAAUAUAACUCCUAAGAUAUAGGUAUAAUCUGGUUUUAAAAACUUGAUUGAAACCACUGUUUUUUUGACUCAGCAGGCAGCCUAGGCCCUGGCUGAAUGAAGGGGUAAGUCCUUCCUUGCAUGAUGGUGUGCAGGUUUUCCUGACUACCAAGUUUCUAAUGUUCAUAUGUGAAUUCACAUGUGUGGCUUCACCACCAUAACUUGUGUCUCCUAAAUACUAUAACUAAUUUGUUAGGAAGGAAAGAAACCAGAUUUGCUUAAAUCUGUUCACAGCUGACAUUCUGAAAUUCUAAACUGGACAUAACAGUGUUUAUAAUGAUAAUCGUGCAUGUCUAAUAUGGCUCUUUGUGAAUGAAAUGUCUAAUGAAAACAGUUAAAAACAUAGCUUAAAUUUAUCCAAGUGAACCUUUUGUUGCUUUUAUUUUUCUUUGUUGGAAAGGGAGGACUCAGUUACACCAAAAAGUAAUGAGUGCCCAUUACUUUGAGUAAGGCUAUUUCCACAUCAUAAUGGGCCCCUCCCUUCCUAGCUACAUUUUAGAUUGAGAGUGUCAGUUGUGAGCUUAGGGUUUAAGUGAUCAUCACUUGCAUGAUUAGUUUUGUGUAUCCUGAUAGCUUUGCUUUUCUGUGCCAGUUCAAAGUAACAUUUUUGCUAAGGACACUUAAAAUUAACUGACAUCAGUUUUGUUUUGAUUACCUGGUUAUGUGUGUAGUAUUUCUGGGACCAAAAAUUAUUUUAAACUACUGAGCUUUUAAAACACAGACCCUCAGUCUGAAAAGCUACAGAGAACACCUUUGUGUUCCAAUCCUGUCGUAGCUGGUAGGCAGGUUUUUUUUUGUACGCACCUUUUCCUCUCUGACUGUAGCAUGUGGUGUGUUUGAAAUACUUCCUCUUCUGCUUCCUGAUUCCAGUGUCAACACUAUAAGUAGACUGGAGCUGUGUUACAUAUUUUAGCUACUCGGUCUAAUAAAGUAUACAGGACCUCUUUCUGGUACCUUCUGAACUAAGCUUAUCUGACGCGCAAAGGGCAUGUUAGUCACAUUUCAUGUCUUUGAGCAUAUUUGGUGUUGUGAAACAAAUAUUCUUCCUACACUAGAGAAGUACGGUGCUUCAACCCUAGAAUAUUUGAGCAACCAUUCAGUCUGUUCUCAGCCAUUAAACAUUUUGGCACAGCUCAUCACUCCAUUUGUUAUGUUCUUGAGGAAAGUCCAUUUUGUUGUUAUACUUACAGCAUAUGUUCUGGUCAUUAAAACCAAACAAUUAUUGAGGGUUAUAAUAUAAUGACAGUAACUUUACAAAGUAGUCAUUUGCUUCAAGGACUUUACUUUUACUUAGCCAAAUGACUGCUCACUGUAACCCUCACAACUUUUGGCUUACUCUGUGACCCUUGCUAGGAGUGUGGUACCUUGAAGGACUUGUUAAUCAGUUACCCCUCCUGCUUCCUGCACCCAUGAAAACACAGUACUUGCUAGGUGUUUGAAAAUGUUACCAUCCAUGGGCUGGGGCUAGUUGUGUUAUUUGUAAAUUAAGUACUUAGUUUAUAAACAGUUUUUUGGCUAGUGGCACCCAGGCCCCUAUGCAAGAUAUCAUCUUGAUUAUCUCCCUUCAGGUUAGAGGAGAUCACAUUAUUUAGAACACUCUUGAGAUAUUAUGUUAUGUUCCUGAAGCUAUCUUGCUCGUGUUCAAG